Molecule: ribosomal RNA, 442 nt
Filed under: uncultured Alphaproteobacteria bacterium
Lineage: Bacteria; Pseudomonadati; Pseudomonadota; Alphaproteobacteria
Description: bacterial SSU rRNA
Rfam family: Bacterial small subunit ribosomal RNA
Source: RNAcentral
AACGAACGCUGGCGGCAGGCUUAACACAUGCAAGUCGAACGUGAACGUCUCUUCGGAGAUUAGUAGAGUGGCGCACGGGUGCGUAACGCGUAGGAAUCUGCCCAGUAGUACGGAAUAACCAUUGGAAACGAUGGCUAAUACCGUAUACGCCCUUCGGGGGAAAGCUUUAGUGCUAUUGGAUGAGCCUGCGUUAGAUUAGCUAGUUGGUAGGGUAAUGGCCUACCAAGGCUACGAUCUAUAGCUGGUCUGAGAGGAUGAUCAGCCACACUGGGACUGAGACACGGCCCAGACUCCUACGGGAGGCAGCAGUGGGGAAUAUUGGACAAUGGAGGAAACUCUGAUCCAGCCAUGCCGCGUGAGUGAUGAAGGCCUUAGGGUUGUAAAGCUCUUUCAGCAGGGAAGAUAAUGACGGUACCUGCAGAAGAAGCCCCGGCUAACUUCG